UAUUCUCCACGAUGCCCCUACUAUAACUCUGAGCCGAGUCUAACCCACUAAAUUUUAGAGUCUAUAAUCUUGUAUUUAUUAUGCUACUCUACCUUAUUACACGCAACCGGUUAACACUGGGAGGCUAAACAAUAAUCAAAUUUGUAAUUACAUCAUCUCUCGUUUCACUGUCUCACUUCGCUUUCUUUCUUUUUUUUUGUAAAAAACUUCGCUUUCUUCUUCCCUCUUCCAAAUUUCAGAAUGGAAGGUUUUGAAUAAAAAUCUUGAAUCUCUUUCUUAUUAUCUCUCUCAGAUAAUGAAUCUUUACGGCUUACUUCUUCUGUUUCCAUUCUCUCCGGGCUAAAUGAGUCCUCUCCUCACUCUCACUCUCUGCUUCAUCUCUUUACUCCUCCUCUUCGGCACCAACUCCGUAACCGAGAGUAUUAAGUAGACUGAGUUACUAUGAGAUUUAGGAAAUGAAGUAUAGUUGACGUGUUUAGCUUAUGUGUGGUGCCUUAUUCAAGAAGGUGGUGACUUUCAUCUGCUAGCUUAAUAUGCAUUUUUUUUAAAUGGUUCACUCUUGAGCUUUGAUGUAACGGUGAUUAUUCUAAAGUUAUGUAUAAGUUAACAAAAUGAUGUAUCUGACUAUUGUACAUUUGAUAUGAAAUAACUAUAAAAUA
This is a long non-coding RNA of Brassica napus (rape), 659 nucleotides long. RefSeq lists it as uncharacterized. NCBI's taxonomy places the organism in Eukaryota, Viridiplantae, Streptophyta, Magnoliopsida, Brassicales, Brassicaceae. The record is from RefSeq and is a predicted model, not a curated record. The transcript is spliced from 2 exons.